RNAcentral lists this ribosomal RNA (492 nucleotides) under uncultured bacterium. RNAcentral describes it as "partial 16S ribosomal RNA". It matches the Rfam family "Bacterial small subunit ribosomal RNA", at positions 29 to 507 of the family's 1533-position model. The record is from RNAcentral.
AGUGAACGCUGGCGGUAGGCCUAACACAUGCAAGUCGAACGGCAGCACAGUAAGAGCUUGCUCUUACGGGUGGCGAGUGGCGGACGGGUGAGGAAUACAUCGGAAUCUACUUUUUCGUGGGGGAUAACGUAGGGAAACUUACGCUAAUACCGCAUACGACCUACGGGUGAAAGCAGGGGAUCUUCGGACCUUGCGCGAUUGAAUGAGCCGAUGUCGGAUUAGCUGGUUGGCAGGGUAAAGGCCCACCAAGGCGACGAUCCGUAGCUGGUCUGAGAGGAUGAUCAGCCACACUGGAACUGAGACACGGUCCAGACUCCUACGGGAGGCAGCAGUGGGGAAUAUUGGACAAAGGGCGCAAGCCUGAUCCAGCCAUACCGCGUGGGUGAAGAAGGCCUUCGGGUUGUAAAGCCCUUUUGUUGGGAAAGAAAAGCAGCAGGUUAAUACCCCGCUGUUCUGACGGUACCCAAAGAAUAAGCACCGGCUAACUUCGUG